Molecule: ribosomal RNA, 478 nt
Filed under: uncultured bacterium
Lineage: Bacteria
Description: partial 16S ribosomal RNA
Rfam family: Bacterial small subunit ribosomal RNA
Source: RNAcentral
GACGAACGCUGGCGGCGUGCUUAACACAUGCAAGUCGAACGGUAAGGCCCUUCGGGGUACACGAGUGGCGAACGGGUGAGUAACACGUGGGUGAUCUGCCCUGCACUUCGGGAUAAGCCUGGGAAACUGGGUCUAAUACCGGAUAGGACCACUGCCUGCAUGGGUGGUGGUGGAAAGCUUGUGCGGUGUGGGAUGGGCCCGCGGCCUAUCAGCUUGUUGGUGGGGUAAUGGCCUACCAAGGCGACGACGGGGAGCCGGCCUGAGAGGGUGACCGGCCACACUGGGACUGAGAUACGGCCCAGACUCCUACGGGAGGCAGCAGUGGGGAAUAUUGCACAAUGGGCGCAAGCCUGAUGCAGCGACGCCGCGUGAGGGAUGACGGCCUUCGGGUUGUAAACCUCUUUCAGUAGGGACGAAGCGCAAGUGACGGUACCUACAGAAGAAGGACCGGCCAACUACGUGCCAGCCGCCGCGGUAA